UACGUAGGUUGCAAGCGUUAUCCGGAGUUACUGGGCGUAAAGUGUCGGUAGCCUGAUAAGUAAGUCUGUUUUUAAAUACUCCGACUCAAUCGGAGAAAGGGAACAGAUACUGCUUAUCUAGAGGUUUUUGGAGGUUAGUGGAAUUUCCAGUGGAGGGGUGAAAUCUGUUGAUAUUGGAAGGAAUGCCGAAAGCGAAAGCAGCUAACUACAAUUAUCCUGACGGUGUGCGACGAAAGCUUGGGUAGCAAACGGG
This 253-nucleotide ribosomal RNA is filed under the name uncultured bacterium. RNAcentral's name for it is "partial 16S ribosomal RNA". It matches the Rfam family "Bacterial small subunit ribosomal RNA", at positions 524 to 776 of the family's 1533-position model. The record is from RNAcentral.